This 483-nucleotide ribosomal RNA is filed under the name uncultured Sulfurihydrogenibium sp. Its description in RNAcentral is "bacterial SSU rRNA". It matches the Rfam family "Bacterial small subunit ribosomal RNA", at positions 29 to 530 of the family's 1533-position model. The record is from RNAcentral. Lineage: Bacteria; Pseudomonadati; Aquificota; Aquificia; Aquificales; Hydrogenothermaceae.
CGCGAACGUUGGCGGCGUGCCUAACACAUGCAAGUCGUGGGGCAGCAGGCUACUGUCUUUUGGCAGUAGUGCUGGCGACCGGCAAACGGGUGAGUAACACGUAGCUUACCUACCCAUAGGUUGGGGAUAACAUCCCGAAAGGGGUGCUAAUACCCAAUAAUGAGGAGACUCCAAAGCCCUUUUGGGCGCCUAUGGAUGGGGCUGCGUCCCAUCAGCUAGUUGGUGAGGUAAUGGCUCACCAAGGCUACGACGGGUAACCGGUCUGAGAGGAUGACCGGUCACAGUGGGACUGAGACACGGCCCGCACCCCUACGGGGGGCAGCAGUGGGGAAUAUUGGGCAAUGGCCGAAAGGCUGACCCAGCAACGCCGCGUGGUGGAUGAAGCCCUUCGGGGUGUAAACACCUUUUCUGGGGGAAGAUAAUGACGGUACCCCAGGAAUAAGGGACGGCUAACUACGUGCCAGCAGCCGCGGUAAUACGUAG